Molecule: ribosomal RNA, 253 nt
Filed under: uncultured bacterium
Lineage: Bacteria
Description: partial 16S ribosomal RNA
Rfam family: Bacterial small subunit ribosomal RNA
Source: RNAcentral
UACAGAGGUGGCAAGCGUUGUUCGGAAUUACUGGGCGUAAAGGGCGCGUAGGCGGUUCGUUAAGUCCUGUGUGAAAGCCUCCAGCUCAACUGGAGAACUGCCAUUGAUACUGACGGGCUUGAGUACAGACGAGGUUGGCGGAAUUGAUUGUGUAGCGGUGAAAUGCAUAGAUACAAUCAAGAACUCCGAUUGCGUAGGCAGCUAACUAGGCUGUAACUGACGCUGAGGCACGAAAGCGUGGGGAGCGAACAGG